This is a long non-coding RNA of Lathyrus oleraceus (garden pea), 2411 nucleotides long. RefSeq lists it as uncharacterized. The record is from RefSeq and is a predicted model, not a curated record. The transcript has 5 exons. Lineage: Eukaryota; Viridiplantae; Streptophyta; Magnoliopsida; Fabales; Fabaceae.
AAUCCCACUCAUAUUAAUAAACAUUUUACUAUUAUUAUGAACCAUAAUUGUUGUGUUAAUCCAAUGUCUAACUAGAAACUUUAAAUAAAAUGAAAAAAAGAGUAAAUAAAAUAAACAAACAAGAGGGUGUCUGUGGAGUAAAAAGUGGGAUUUUAGUUGUGGCCCGCUAGAGUAGGUAAAGGCCCACACGCAUCCAAGCCUUCCAUCUGGUCUGGUCGGGUCCAAGGCCCAAAGCUGAUCCAGCUCAACGAAACCCUAACUGGAAACUAAACAAACAGACAAAAGGGAGAACCGGAGGUGGAUCCCUUCUAGCAUCUGCCACACGUUCAACUUAUGCAUGGGGAAUCACUUGUGAAUUAAUGCAAUAUUGGUAAUCAAUGCAUGACAGACAUGAGGCAAACCACACGUUACCACUUCCCAAAAUGCAGUGCACGAAACCCAACCUCUUAAAUGUUCAUAAUACCAAUUGAUAGCCACCAUUUAAACAAUAUAAAAGCCAUAGAGAAUAUAACUUUAUCUCUCUCACUCAAAGGGAUCUUAACUCGAGUUGUCUCUCCAUCUAUGCUUUUCCCUUCUUCUUUUCAAGACCCAACAGAAACUCACUAAAAAUCUAAACCUACAAUUUCUUGAUGAACACCAUGAAGGCAUUCAUCAAUUUUCCAGAAAUUAGCAAAAACGAUUCCCUUUAAGAAGAACAAAACCUAAACCCCUCUCAUAAAUCCAAAUAUAAACCCAGAAUUCCUAUAAGAACAAACAAAUUAGAGAUCUUCUACAACAAAACCUAACAGCAUAAUCAUAUCAAAAUCUAACAAGCCAACAAGCAAUUAAUCAUGAGGAAUGCACAAGCAAGUGUUCAACAUCAUAUUUCAAACAAGAAAUCAACAAAAAAUAGUGAAUAAGGCUUAGUUUUUCCGGCGAGGGUACCGUUAAUAAAUAUUGACCUCGCGCGAUCAGGGUCUCCCUUUAUAUAGAAUCAGGUGAGGUCUUAAAAAAUCGUCUGCAAAUUGCAUGCUGGCAAAAGCUCUAAUCCGUUAGAGAAGAUUUUCUCGAGAUAUGGUGGGGACCAAUACUCAUAUCUUUGAAAUUGUUGUGAGUCCUUUUGCAUUUUAGUCUGUAGUGAUGUAUUUUAGUCUGUUUAAAACUCGGGUGGUCCAACCCUCUUGGUAUGACGUCACCUUUUGAAUUCAGCAUUUGUUAUGUUAUAAUUGUGAACUCAUGUUGCAAUUUUGACAGUACUGGAUAGAUCCCUAGUAUUAAAAGAAAGCGUCAACAUCCACAAGCGUUCCCAUCAUGUGCAGAUUCUGAAUUCUCUAAGCAUUUUGCAUUUCGGGGCCACUAUUUCGAGCUGAUACUCCCUUGUUUUUGAGCUGAUACGCAGAUACUGAUUUUGUCGCUAUUGCAGGGCACUGAAAUGUAUUGAUGGAUUGGUUGAUUCCUGCAGGCCUGUUGGGAGCACUUGAUCUUCUACAAGACGGCGUGAUCUUCAUGGCCCGACAAGUCCAUAUUCACUUGAUCUAAUACACGGUUGUACGCAUGUUGGUUUGGCAAUGCGAUUAGAAAGCAAUUUGAAAACUCGGGAAUGGCUCCAAUGCAGGCUUGAUGUCAUUCCAUACAUAUUGCGGAAUUGUUGUUAACGACGAUACUACACUUGGGAGGAAAACUCAAUAUUUUUAUCAAUUGGGGCAUUUGGAUGGGAAACGGAAAGAGCGCGAGCAAAUUCUUCGAAACCAAGUAUCCCAUUAUGUUUUGUACCCAACAAGUCAAAUACCUGAUCGGUAAACAAACUGUCCUUUUUACUCGUCUUGAAUAAUGCCAAGUGAAACUCUUCCUUGUUGAUCAGUUCAUCGUCAAUCACAUCACUACUUAUAUCUUUUUUUUAAAAAGAGCUCGUAGAAUGCUUUGAUUUUACUUACACUGAAAACUAUCUCCUUCGCAAGGAUUUCAGGGUCUUCAAGACCAGUUGUCUACUUAAGGUCACAAUGUCGCAAUAGAGGCGUAAAUAAAAGCUUAGAUCUCUCUAUGCACUGUAACAUGAUAUUUCUUACAGCUCAAAAUCAAAGUAUUCCAUAGCUUUUAACCAUUUCCAAUAUCAGCUGGCCAAGUCACAUGAACGAUGAUUGACGAGGUAUGGGGUACAACUUCUCGCAAUAUUGAGGUCGAAUCAUCGUAGCUUGAGGAUUUUGUAGUAUGAUUCCGUUAUUAGUAGAAGCUCAGUUAGGAAUACUAGGAUAUUAUAAAUGAAUAUGUAUGAUUCAGGUGUUGUCGGUUUUUUUUCGGUUCUAUUUUCAUGGCUUUUGGCAUUGCAUUCGGUAUCUUAUACGUCAUGGUUUCAAUGUUACAAUGUACUGCUCUUGUUAUACUUUGUUGUAACUUUUUAAUCCAAUUUCCUACUAUGCUGCUCUUGGAAUGUA